Molecule: unclassified non-coding RNA, 247 nt
Filed under: Hevea brasiliensis (rubber tree)
Lineage: Eukaryota; Viridiplantae; Streptophyta; Magnoliopsida; Malpighiales; Euphorbiaceae
Source: RNAcentral
UCAGUUCCUACUGAUGAAUCUGAAAAGUUUCAGUCAUGCAAAUCAUCAAGCAAACCAGCUGCUACUUCAUCUGUUAUCAGCAACCAAAAUGAGUCUUCCAGUAGAAGGGUGGUUACAGAAGAAACAAGCUCAGUUGAUGAGAUGAGAAGGAUAUUAAAUAGUGUAGAUCAUUAUGAAGCACUAGGACUUCCUCGUCAUAAAAGAAUUGAUACUACAAUAUUGAGAAAGGAAUAUCACAAGAAGGCCC